This is an RNA transcript of Quercus robur (English oak), 1600 nucleotides long. It is a transcript of the gene named 60S ribosomal protein L4, with no coding region annotated. The record is from RefSeq and is a predicted model, not a curated record. The transcript is spliced from 3 exons. NCBI's taxonomy places the organism in Eukaryota, Viridiplantae, Streptophyta, Magnoliopsida, Fagales, Fagaceae.
UCCCCAUUUUCUUUAACACAUAAACCCUAGUCCCCUCUCUCUCUUUCGUUUUCUUUCGCAAUCCCCAUUUCCCUUCACCAAUGGCCGCCGCAGUAGCUGCUGUGCGCCCCCUUGUCACUGUCCAAUCCCUCGAAGGUGACAUGGCCACCGAUACCAUCACCACCGUCGCAUUGCCCGAUGUUAUGAAAGCCUCCAUCAGACCCGACAUCGUAAACUUCGUCCACGCCCAGAUCUCCAACAACAAGCGCCAGCCCUACGCCGUGUCCAAGAAGGCCGGACACCAGACCUCAGCCGAGUCCUGGGGUACCGGACGCGCCGUGUCUCGUAUCCCCCGUGUCCCCGGCGGUGGUACUCACCGUGCCGGUCAGGGAGCCUUCGGAAACAUGUGCCGUGGUGGUCGCAUGUUCGCUCCUACCAAGAUCUGGCGCCGAUGGCAUAGGAGAGUCAACGUGAACCAGAAGCGAUACGCCAUCGUUUCGGCCAUUGCUGCUUCUGCCAUCCCAUCUCUUGUUCAAGCUCGUGGUCACAGAAUCGAGUCUGUUCCAGAGUUCCCACUGGUUAUCAGUGACUCAGCUGAGAGCUUGGAGAAGACCUCUGCUGCUCUCAAGGCUUUGAAGCAGAUCGGAGCUGCCCCCGAUGCCGAUAAGGCGAAGGAGAGCCAUUCGAUCCGUCCUGGGAAAGGUAAGAUGAGGAACCGCCGCUACAUUAACAGGAAGGGUCCUCUUCUUGUGUAUGGUUCCGAAGGCGCGAAGCUCGUGAAGGCGUUCAGGAACAUUCCCGGGAUUGAUAUUGUGAAUGUGGAGAGGUUGAAUCUGUUGAAGCUAGCUCCUGGUGGCCACCUUGGGAGGUUUGUGAUUUGGACCAAGUCGGCUUUCGAGAAGCUCGAUUCGAUCUAUGGGUCGUUCGAUAAGGCCUCUGAGAAGAAGAAGGGGUAUGUUCUACCUAGGUCCAAGAUGUUGAAUGCUGAUUUGGCUAGGAUUAUCAACUCUGAUGAGGUGCAGAGCGUUGUGAAGCCAAUCAAGAAGGAAGUGAAGAGGGCUCCAUUGAAGAAGAACCCACUCAAGAACCUGAACGCAAUGUUGAAGCUCAACCCAUAUGCUAAGACCGCGAGGAGGAUGUCCCUUUUGGCUGAGGCUGAUCGUGUUAAGGCCAAGAAGGAGAAGCUCGAGAAGAAGCGGUCGCCAAUCACGAAGGAGGAGGCUUCUGCCAUCAAGACUGCCGGAAAAGCUUGGUACCAGACUAUGAUCUCCGAUAGUGAUUACACAGAGUUUGAGGUUUUCACCAAGUGGCUUGGAGUUUCCCAGUGAUUUACCAUUCUGUUUUUGAAUAUCCUGUAGACCUCAAUUUAUUUGGUGUUUGUUUAUCUAGAGUUUUUAUAAUUUUUUUUUUACAGUUUUGAGACAUGAUAGUUACUAGGUGGGAGGAAAUGGGUGGAAUAAGAUAUUUCCUAAAUAUGUUUUUUUACCUCCCACUUAUUGCUAUCCAUUUCUGCCAAGGACGAAGAGCUUUUGUUUUUGCAACUGAAAUUAAAUAUUUUAGCUUUUGCGUGCAAUAGACCUAACUAAUGUUGCGCUAUGCAAUACUACUAUAUUUUGUUUCA